Molecule: long non-coding RNA, 8774 nt
Organism: Lagopus muta (rock ptarmigan)
Lineage: Eukaryota; Metazoa; Chordata; Aves; Galliformes; Phasianidae
Exons: 3
Source: RefSeq, a predicted model, not a curated record
CAACGGUAUCGCAACAUGUGCCCGGAAUCGAGGUAUGAUGUCAUUUAACAGUGCUUGUGUACUCGCCUUGUUUGUCCUACAGACAAAAGCCACCGACCAAGCUGAAGCAGUGUCUGUCAGCACCACGACGUUCCCCAAGUUCUGAGAAAUACAUUUGCCAUCGCUUUGCCUUCACUGCAUUUUGUUUUUUAACAUAAAUAUUGGAUCUCUUAAUUUCAAGGACUCACGACCUACCUGCACGUGCGCCAUAUACGUAAAAUGAAGCAUUUACCAAUUACCGAAUUAGAAGAGUUUAGAAUGUUAGAAGCUCCGUCCAGCCGCGGUGCAAACACGCGGCCUCCGCCCGGCAGCGUUCCCACACUCAACAUGGCUCCUCGAGUGCUUCACCCGCUCUUCAGCGCCCCCCUGCAGCGCACCUCUCUGCCGCUCUGAACUUGCCGUGCCCUUUCUGAAAAUGGCCGCCAGCUUCACCCCGCGGCCGCCUUGCCUGGGUGACGGCCGGGUCGCGGUCACGUGGCGGGCGGUGGGUCGUGAGGGCGGUGAGGUGCCGGGUUUGUCCGCUCCUCCUGGCCGCGUCGUGCGGUCGGCUCCUAUUGGGUCCAGGGCCUCUCAGGGUCCGUGCCGCUUAUGUACGGGACGGCGCCGGAGGGCCGGGAUCGGCGGCAGCGGGAAGGCACUGAGUUCUCUGAGAUGUGCUAUGGAAAUGAUGAGAGCUACUUCUGAGGCUGUGAGCGGUGGCUGAUGAGAGAAGCUAAAGAGAGGAACCUCAAAAUUGAACAGAUUGGUAAAUCCAAGCCUUGGGUUUUAUAUGCUCUUUGUUCUAACAAACACGUCUGACCCUUAAUUACUUCAACGGUUUUUAUGUGGCACCAGACAAGGUAGGGAAGCUCUAGGACUUGAUAUGCUUGCAUUGAUGCUUCUCUCAGACUGUUUUGCUUUUCUGCAGUAGCAUAACAUUCUAGGCAGUGGCUUCCCAAUAAUCUUCUCAUGUCAAAUGAUGUUAAUGUUUAGACCUGAUCACAAUGGUGAAUAUCGUUAAGGCUGCAUUUCUGAAUUUUCACUGUCUGCAGUAAAGCUUCUCAAGCUGUGGUUCCCAUUCCACUGAGAAAGUCUGCCCUUUGUGUUGCACUGUGGGAAGGUACAUGAAGUGUCCAUCUCUUCUGGAGUGUUUUCCUUCCUGUUGCUGACUGUUUCAGUCAGUGUCACUCUUGCACUCUGGUAACACGUUGAUGCUUGAGAAAUGGACCUUGGAGGGAGUGGGGUAGGAGGUGUGUGUCCAACACAAGUUUUUGCCUUGCUGUGCUUUUACAGUAGAAUAUAAGUUCUGCAUGUGAAGUAUUUAAGUAAAGUCCUGUUUUCAUGUUGUUACUGACAUUCUGUAUGACCACGUCUUGAAGUGAAAUAGUGGAGAAAAGCAUUGUCUGCAAGCUGUAGAGACGAUGUUAAUAGCAUAUAACGUGUGACAAGGCUAAGCGUUGUAGAGAGCUCUCACAGCAUGGGUGUUCUUUUCAGUAAGGCUGCAAGCUGUGGGCCAAAGGAUGAGAGAAAUAAGCACCUGCCUUGAAUUUUCAUUAUUUCCUGGGAGGGCUGAUGAAAAAGUUCAGUAACAAUGGUGAAAUAUUUAUUUAUGUGCAUGCGCUACUACUUUGAAUAUCAAUAAAUAUUCUAUUCUGUAUUCUGUUUACUUUUUGGUUUAUAGAUACGGAAUGAAAGGGCAUUUCAUAGAAAAUGGAUGAAGGUAUGUCUGUUUUCCUUCUUAAAAGUGAAAUGUGCUUCUGAAGUUCCCUUGUUAUCACAUGUGCUUUGCUUGUCUGAUUUUUCUCUAGAGAAGAGACCUUCAUCCUGUGACAACUUUGCUUCCUGACCUCUCGUGGUAGCUGCAGGCAUGAAGCACUAACAGGAACACGGGAUCCUUAGACUUCUUUUUUUUUUUUUUAUCUGAAGAUUUUAUUUUGAACUUUGUAAGUCCGUGUAUGCUAUGGAGGGCAUUUUAAAGGAGGCUGCAGUUGAACCGUACAAAUUCGUCUUCUUACUGGCUGGAAAACAGCUUAAUUUGUAAGUCAGAGAUCUGGAAUUCCUUCAGACUCUCAAGUGAAGUUCCAGUGGAUAUGAUGUCCUUUAAUUAUUGUUGUACAGCUCCAAGCUUUCAUUGCAUGGUCUGAUUUACUUUUUCCAUAAAGUAAGAGCUCUGUAUUUUAACUGUGCAAAAGUCAAUAACCUCAUUUAGAACAUCAGUUGGAAAGAGACAGUAUUUCACAUCAGUUAACACUGUGCUGUCACUGUUUCCUUCCCUGCACACCCUUCUUUGGAAGCUCACUUCUCUUUGAGUUAUGUUAUGCUGAAGUGGAAUCUUAAUAUAAGUUCUACUAUAUGCAUUAUUCAUGUCCUUGUUGCUGCUUUGAGGCUAAGAAGGAAAUGCAUUUCUUCUCAAUAGAAAGUAAGGGUUAAUCUGUGUGUGAAGAAAACUGCUGAUUCUUUUUUUCGUCUCCAUGCACAACUUUGCAGAAAUUGGGUCCCUUCUGCUUAAAAUCAGCCAGUCAGCUGCUAUUAGAAAAGUUCUUUUAGUUUUUGUAUGCUAUACAAGGUCAGUUGUGUCAUUUGUCCGUGGCAGCAUCUGCCGCUAUUUCAUUCAGUGAUUAGUUUUAGCAGAAUAAUACAGAAAAUGGCGUACAGCAGUUAAAUGUGACAUGACAUUAGGAGGGAAAAGCCCUCUGUAACUUAAGUGUCUUUCAUGAGGCUGGCAUAGAUAACAUUCUGCCUGCUCGUGAAAAGUGGGAGUGCUCUCUGAAACACUUUAUCCUCAUUUAUAUGUAAGGCUGUGUGAUACACUUGUAGUCUGUUAAACUGAUCUAUGGUCAAAGGUUAUAGCAGGACAGGUAAGCAGGAAUUUUAUAAAGAAACUUCCUUAGGCAUUGAGUUAAUAAACUUUGAUCACCUGCAAGAGCCUUUCUGAGAAAUAGCAAUUAUAAUAUGGUAGUGCAUAACUAAUUUUUCUGUGGUUGUUUUAUUCCUGAUUUGCCUACAGUAGGCAGGAGUUGCACCUCAGCGAGUUUAUAGUGCUUUAGGAAACAUGCAUUGCAUACUUUAAUUACAUAGACACGUUUUACAUACUGACUUGUAUUACUCACUUCCACCACUUUGUUUUCAGAGAAACUGGUGAGAUCCAGAAGCUCACUGGGGCUUUGAUUACUUUUCUGUUACAAUAAUGUCUGGAUUCUCAGUUCCCAUUUAGUUGUGAUGGCAGUGCAGUGUUUGGGAAGCAUGCAGCCAGCUGACUUGUUCUUCUCAUCCUGGGUUUUGUCACACGGCGGUCAUGUUUUGCAGAGUUAGACUUCAUCUGAUUAUUGACUUCUGGAUAGAAAUGUGUACGAUGUGCUCGUUACCUUUGUAUUAUCAGCAGUCUUCAUUAGGGCGGAGGUCUUGUGAAGGAAACGAGCUUUGGUUGGGUGUUGGUCACUGUCAGUGAGUCGCUCUGCAGCUCUUGCAGCCCACCCAGUGUGCCUUUUGCAGCUGAGCUUGUCAGGGUGUACAAAAAGAGCCGAGUUGGGUACUAAGCUGUAAAUGCGGCUGCGUGUUUCAACUGGGACCUUGUGCUGUAUCUUGCUAUUGACAAUAAGUAUUUAAAGCUUGACCUAAGGCAGUACGAGACUGUGCUGCUUCUCUUUUAGCACCUUAAGGUUACUGUUACAGGUCACCAAGGGCAAUAUUAGAAUGAAGCUUUGCGUUAGCAAGCUGUGGAGGUGGCGUGAUGUACGUAAAGCUAGGUUUACUUAUGCUGCUGUGUUCUAAAGAAAUAAUCUUGUACUCAUGCGAAUGCUGCAUUAUGUUACAGAUUGCUCUGUAAUGCAACCUUUUCUGUUCUACUGGUAUUAUCCCAAAGCAAGUGUGCUUUUCACUUUCAGUUUGGAGGAGAGGAAUUACUGCAGCUGUUUGUACUUCUAGGCCUUGAUUUUUCUUUUUGCGAUAAGUGCUCUUAAUAUAUUGGGUAGGCCUCUCUAUCCUGGGACAAAACCAGUGCCAAACGCCUGAGUAACUCAGCAGGAACUGCGGGCUGUGGAGAUUGCAGAACCUUCAGCAAUGCAGCAGUGCAGGAUGUUGAGCUCGGAUCCUAAAGCAAACCUGCGUGAACGGAAACAUGAGCUCGUAAGUGUUGUGCACUACUGAUAGCUUUUAAAGCUGUGUGUGUAAGGACUGCCUAAGGUACUGCACAGCACAUCCAUCUGCUGUGUCAGGACAAGAGAGAAACUGCAGCUCACUCCUCUGUCAGCCUGAACUCAGAAAUGCUGAGGUGUCAGGACAGCUGUCCUUAACCGCUGUGAGAAAAACGUUGUGUAAGUUGUAUGGCAUUUUUGAGUUACGUUUUCACCUUGGCCUAUGCAGCUGAGUUCAGGUAUCAUUCAGAUUCUGAAGAUCUAUUCAAAAGGGGGAUGUUCUUGAGAACUAGCAUGAAAAACACAGGAGGAAAAGAACAUAAUAAAGUUAAUCUAGCUGUAUGUUUCUUAGGGUCUCUCUCAGGUUGUGUGUCUCCAGUUACGAAUAAUAGGUAUGAGGGUUUUGUUAUCUGGGGUAUCUAUCCAGCCUAAAAAACAGACUAGCAAACAGACUUUCUUAUAACUUUUUCUAACAGCUGCUUUGGUUAGGAGGUACAGCUGGAGGCUGUAACCGUCAGUUGCUCUUUUCAUUUAAUGUUCAGUUUUUUGUGGUGGUACAGGCAGAGAAUGUAUUGGUUUUUCUUUAUUAAAGUUCUCAACACUGGGAAUUGGUUCAGGAAGUGGAUUUGCUGUCUUUUCCUUUCCUGUGGGUUUGUUCUGUCUGUUUUGUGGAGGGAAGGAUGGUGGGGUGAGGGGGAGGAGGGAGGUUGCUUGUUGGAUUGUUUUCCCAUGUUUUAUCUGGGAACAUUCUUUUUGCAUUGGAAGAUAUUUUUAUUUUUAGCCAGGAAGCUGUUUCUCCACUGUGUGGUGGAGAAAAUGAGGUGUAGAUGGUUGUACUAACUUGGUGUAAUGCUAUGCAUAUGAACAACAAACCGAUUUUCCCAGUAUGACUGUGUGUAACUCAGCAGCUGAUUGCUAUGAAGGAUUCCCCUUUGGUCAGUGUGUGCCAGUGAGGGCACAAGAGCCUCAGGGUGGGUGCUGCGCCUGUUUGGGUGAGAGGUAGGAAGUUUACAUCCCUGUAUUGUCAGAGAGCUUUACUGAGUCUUUUUUCUCUAGCUGUGUUAUUUUUUGUAAAGCAUGAAAGCAGUUCUGUGGAAAGUGUGAUAAAUAAGCCUUCUUUUUCUUUAAGGUAAUUCAAUAGGAAGCAGAAAGAUCUAAGAGCAAGCAAAUUUGACCACUAGGCACGUGCAGAAAUAAGCUACUGCUUGCUAUUGUUAUUGCUAUUAGAGUACUUUGAUCUGAAGUACCUGCUGAGGUUAGUGUGCUUUCCAUGUUCUUUUUUGCUCAUUUUAUUUUAUCCUUAAGUAGACAUUUGAUACCUUUCAGUUUGAGAAAAUAGAAUGAAGUACCUCCGUAUUCUUAUCCCACUUGAGAUUGUUGUCUAAGUCAGCAUUUCUUUGUGUGUGGGAAAAGGGAAAUACUUUGUCAUGCUGGCUUCUGAAAACGUGGCUUGGCAAUUACUGUGCAAAUUCUUAGUGGUCUUGUGCUGUCUGUGCCACAGUUCUGCAGAGAGGCGGCACAUACAGUGCCAUUAAGAUGAAGGCAAAUGCCUUAAUUUUCAUUCUUCUGCUCGUUACUGCAUAUGUAACAGUGUUCAAGAAAAUGACUGUCAUGUCAUCUGAACAGUUCAGAACACCUGGGCAGCUCUUCCCAUUUCCAUGUUACUUCAGACUUUCCUGAGGUCACAUUCCUCUUUUCUGCUCGCUCACACUAAGAAACCCCGACAAACAGCUCUACCUCCUAUAGUCAAUUAUUCCGUAGGGAGAAGCCCUUCUGUACUUUCUUUUGCUGGUCUCUUUACUCUGUCUGCCACAGAACUGAUGUUUUAAGAUGUGCUUAGUAUAAUUCUGUAAUCAUCUUCUAUGGGUAGAAUUCGUUUUGGAAAUGUGGUUACUUUACGUUGGAAAUAAUUUUUGUAUGUGAAAUUAAUUUGCUUGGACUAGAAAUCACAGAUAUUUUACUAAGAUGAAACAGAACAGAAAUUGGAAGAAAAUAAUUGCAUCUCAGCACAUGCAGCAUAGUUUACUCAGCCAGGCUGGUUGUACUUGUGAGUGGACGGACACUUAGAAGGAGGUGGAAGCUCUGCAGCUCUGACAGAUGGCCCAGACAACCUUAUUGUCAUAAUCAAAGCUAUGGUAAUGUAUAUCAACAAAAAUGGAAUAAACAAAGGAAAUGUUCUGUUACAAAGAGCCAGCUUUGAUUUAUGCCGUAUCUGUGAAUAUCCUGUACAGUGCUUUUGUAGCUGUGUUACCGAGACCACCAGAAGUCUUUUUUUCUACCUAAACUUUGUAUGUAGUUGUAUCAUAAAUUAACUUUAAUUUGAUUGUGUACUGGAGGAGGAAUUUGUGGGUUUUUUUUGUUUUUUUUUUUUUUGUUAAACAGCAGUAUUAAAAAUACAUAGAGUUUAUAUAAUAGCAGUCAUUACUGAGAUAGUGGAAUAAAUAGUUGCGGGUUGAUCCUGUGUUGCUUUUUAUUCUUCAUGUACAGUAUGUGUUUCAAAAGAAUAUGGGCGUCUGAUAGAUUCUAGUAAUGUCUAUUCCUUCUGUUUCUUUCUUUAUUCAGACACUUAAUCACUCUCAAUCUGUCAGGCUUCCCCUGCCUCAUUUCUGAUCUUUGCCUCAGCGAGCAGCUUUCUACCUCAGAGUCUUUUGUAAGUAUGCCUUGAAUGCAUUUAGUUGCUCUUGUAAAGUGAGUUGCACUGUUUCUUGUGCACGCACACAAAUUAUGACAAGGUACCGAGAAUUCAGAAUUGCUUGCCUUUGGUGCUGGAGGUUCUGUGCCUGACAAAGUCUUAAACAUCCUGCUUUUCUUCUUACCAUAAGACAAAAUGGUACAAUGAAUGUGCAGGAUUAGUACCUCCCAGUCAAUUGACGUAUAUUGAAGAAAAAAAUUGCUGGAACAGAGAUGCAGUUUGAUUUAUCCUUGCGGUUUAUUCCAAGGCUGCGUGCUCUGAAAUGCUGGUAUAGUUUGUGUCGGAAGUGGUCGUGACCUUUCUACUGGCAUCAGUUCAUUCCCAGGGGAAUAACUGCAGCUGACUACAGUGCUGGUUUUGUUGUUCCAUCCCCACACAAGAUAUUCUCAGAAUCUUUUUUUUUUCUGUUCCAAUCAUUAGUAUUACUGUAUUAUUAGGAUGAUGGCUCAUUGAUGUACGCAAAUUGCUCUGAAAGGAAUGCCUCCUAUUUAUUUCCAUAGAAAUGACAACAGAUACAUAGAGUGAAUUCUCAGCUACAAAACUGUUUUUCAACAUGGUCACCACCAUUAGCUAUAAACAUCAUUAGCUGUAAACAAUUCUUUAUAACAGAUACAGCUACAAUAUACACUCCUAAGGGGGAAGCAGGAAUGUAUUUAUUGAUGAGCAUAGAUAUGCUGUAGUAGAUAUAACAGUGCCUUAACAAGACUGGAGAUGGCUGGAUUCACUUGGUUAUUUUCCACAUAGAGGACAGGGUUACACACACACCUACAGGACUCUCUCCUGCUGUGUCAUGAGGAUCAGAGCCAACCUCAUGGCUGUGUGAACUCUUCAAACCGCAGAGGUAAGGUUCCUCAGCACAGCUGGAUCCACUCCUAGUCCCAGACGUGUUCAGGAGUUUGUGUCUCAGGGAUCCUAUGUGCACAAAGAUACAACAUAUAAUCUGUAUGAUGGACUAUUUGCAUGUGAGGAGGCAGUUUAUAAUCAUGCAGAUGUUCAGCCACUGUUCUGUGGCAAAUGGUUGGACUGUGCAGUUUGUAGAUUGCCCUAAGGCAAUCUACAGAAAGUAUCUUGUCACCCCUGCCAUGUUCCUCUGCAAUUGGGAUAGUGGAAAAUGCACUAGCUAAAUCAAUUACAGCAUACCCGCUUCUGGAAUGCUACUGAACUUCUUCUCUUAAAGCAAUGGUUACCUGCUACAGCCGCUGUGAGAGGUGGGGUGUGCUUAUUUAAUUCACGACCCAUCACUUUUUGACAGGCCAUAUUGGACUGUUCCAAGCUGUAGUAGUUGACUUAAAACUCCUGCAUCCAAUAAAUCAUUAAUUGUCCUUGAUAUCUCUUCAUGCCAACCCCCAGGGUGGUAUAUUGUUUCAUUGUCACUACUUCAGUUGCAGGAGGAAUCUGCGCAGCAGGCAUUUUUACUUUUCCCACUAAAAUUGUCGGAGCACUAAUGCAAUUCUUUAUUCCAAAUUGGUGCUGACCGCUGGGAAGAUUCAAGGUGAGUCCUUUUGGAAUACCUAUCCCUGUGAUGUUUUCUGGGACAGGGACAAUCAUGACAGGAUACAAUCACUUCAGGAGGUUUCCUGUUUUCAUUUCUAUUUGUGUUUUCACAGGUUGCAUUUGUUUCCCUCCCAACCCUAUUACUGGUUGUCCUUCAGAUUUCUUGGGGUUCCCAUAUACUAAGGAGGCCUCUGCUCGGGGUCGUUUGAGGCUCUGCAGUUUGUGAGGACCAGUUUUUCCAAAAUAUCUCCUUCCAAGGAUAGAAAUUGGAAUAUCGUUCCCAAUCGUUCUCCCCCACAACAGCCACAUCGGGCACUCUGCAAAUAGAUUGAAAAAGCAAGGAAGUUCUCUGCCCUUGCUCCUGUCCUUUGUUCCUGCCUCCACAUGCCCUCAGCAUGCAGCCAGGAGAGGAGGGGCACUCAGGAGCACAGUGGGAA